CGAACUAUAGAUCUACGUCUGAUUGUUCUACCAUUCGAAAUGCUGUUCCUCUUUGCUUGGCUCACCUUGCAAAUCUACAAUGCCCGGAUUGGAUUUAAAAACAGAGCAAAACAUUACUUUGAAAAUAAAAGGAGAUCAGAAUCAGAGGUUGUUCCAGAGAUGAAGGUUCUCUCAGACCCUAAUCUUGACUGAUCUGAGGUGAUUAGUAAAUAUUUUCUCAAAAGUAUUCUUGUCUUG
Clarias gariepinus (North African catfish) is the source of this 237-nucleotide long non-coding RNA. RefSeq lists it as uncharacterized. NCBI's taxonomy places the organism in Eukaryota, Metazoa, Chordata, Actinopteri, Siluriformes, Clariidae. The record is from RefSeq and is a predicted model, not a curated record. The transcript is spliced from 4 exons.